Mycena leptocephala is the source of this 93-nucleotide non-coding RNA. The record is from the annotation of a GenBank genome assembly. NCBI's taxonomy places the organism in Eukaryota, Fungi, Basidiomycota, Agaricomycetes, Agaricales, Mycenaceae.
GUUCUCGUGGAGUAAAGUAACUCACUCCCAACCAAUAGUUCGUUGCGUAUGAAAUUUCCGGGAGAGUCGGUGGUUCGAACCCACCCGAGGACA